GUUUAAACAAACAAAUGGAAUCAACUAUUGGAAAUGGCUGUUUUGAGCUUAUCACUAAAAUUGUUCAGUCAAAGGGGAUAAGCAUUUACAUAGAAGAUCUGUAUGUCACCCGGACUUGGCUUGCACCCUAUGGCUGUGAUCCAUUGCAGUCCUUUCCUACUGAUGCUCAGAGGAUGGACAUCAUAGUUCUCCCUCUCUGGACACCUGGUCAUUUCCAGUUGUGUGAAUCUUGCAGUGAAGCUCAUUCCCGGGCAGUGGUCAGAAAAAAACAGCUUUGACUUGAAGGUAUGUGCUAGUUUAAGUGUAUGGUGAAUAAUAUGAAUUACACUAGUCUUCUUUUAAGGGAUUUUAUUAACGAGCCUUUAUUUUCAAUGUAAUACAGGGUUUUCCAAGCCAAGACUAUGGAGCUGAC
Oreochromis aureus is the source of this 412-nucleotide long non-coding RNA. Lineage: Eukaryota; Metazoa; Chordata; Actinopteri; Cichliformes; Cichlidae. The record is from Ensembl.